This 1433-nucleotide ribosomal RNA is filed under the name Microbacterium sp. RNAcentral describes it as "bacterial SSU rRNA". It matches the Rfam family "Bacterial small subunit ribosomal RNA". Lineage: Bacteria; Bacillati; Actinomycetota; Actinomycetes; Micrococcales; Microbacteriaceae. The record is from RNAcentral.
GCGAAAGGAUGCGGGCAUGCUACACAUGCAAGUCGAACGGUGAAGCCAAGCUUGCUUGGUGGAUCAGUGGCGAACGGGUGAGUAACACGUGAGCAACCUGCCCUGAACUCUGGGAUAAGCGCUGGAAACGGCGUCUAAUACUGGAUAUGAGCUGCGGAGGCAUCUUCGUGGUUGGAAAGAUUUUUCGGUUUGGGAUGGGCUCGCGGCCUAUCAGCUUGUUGGUGAGGUAAUGGCUCACCAAGGCGUCGACGGGUAGCCGGCCUGAGAGGGUGACCGGCCACACUGGGACUGAGACACGGCCCAGACUCCUACGGGAGGCAGCAGUGGGGAAUAUUGCACAAUGGGCGGAAGCCUGAUGCAGCAACGCCGCGUGAGGGAUGACGGCCUUCGGGUUGUAAACCUCUUUUAGCAGGGAAGAAGCGAAAGUGACGGUACCUGCAGAAAAAGCGCCGGCUAACUACGUGCCAGCAGCCGCGGUAAUACGUAGGGCGCAAGCGUUAUCCGGAAUUAUUGGGCGUAAAGAGCUCGUAGGCGGUUUGUCGCGUCUGCUGUGAAAACCCGAGGCUCAACCUCGGGCCUGCAGUGGGUACGGGCAGACUAGAGUGCGGUAGGGGAGAUUGGAAUUCCUGGUGUAGCGGUGGAAUGCGCAGAUAUCAGGAGGAACACCGAUGGCGAAGGCAGAUCUCUGGGCCGUAACUGACGCUGAGGAGCGAAAGGGUGGGGAGCAAACAGGCUUAGAUACCCUGGUAGUCCACCCCGUAAACGUUGGGAACUAGUUGUGGGGUCCAUUCCACGGAUUCCGUGACGCAGCUAACGCAUUAAGUUCCCCGCCUGGGGAGUACGGCCGCAAGGCUAAAACUCAAAGGAAUUGACGGGGACCCGCACAAGCGGCGGAGCAUGCGGAUUAAUUCGAUGCAACGCGAAGAACCUUACCAAGGCUUGACAUACACGAGAACGCUGCAGAAAUGUAGAACUCUUUGGACACUCGUGAACAGGUGGUGCAUGGUUGUCGUCAGCUCGUGUCGUGAGAUGUUGGGUUAAGUCCCGCAACGAGCGCAACCCUCGUUCUAUGUUGCCAGCACGUAAUGGUGGGAACUCAUGGGAUACUGCCGGGGUCAACUCGGAGGAAGGUGGGGAUGACGUCAAAUCAUCAUGCCCCUUAUGUCUUGGGCUUCACGCAUGCUACAAUGGCCGGUACAAAGGGCUGCAAUACCGCGAGGUGGAGCGAAUCCCAAAAAGCCGGUCCCAGUUCGGAUUGAGGUCUGCAACUCGACCUCAUGAAGUCGGAGUCGCUAGUAAUCGCAGAUCAGCAACGCUGCGGUGAAUACGUUCCCGGGUCUUGUACACACCGCCCGUCAAGUCAUGAAAGUCGGUAACACCUGAAGCCGGUGGCCCAACCCUUGUGGAGGGAGCCGUCGAAGGUGAUUCCAUUC